Molecule: ribosomal RNA, 510 nt
Filed under: uncultured bacterium
Lineage: Bacteria
Description: bacterial SSU rRNA
Rfam family: Bacterial small subunit ribosomal RNA
Source: RNAcentral
CUGGCGGCGUGCCUAAUACAUGCAAGUCGAACGGUCUUUCUAUGGAAGCUUGCUUCCACUGAGAAGAUAGUGGCGAACGGGUGAGUAACACGUGGGUAACCUGCCCAUAAGAGGGGGGAUAACAUCCGGAAACGGGUGCUAAUACCGCAUAGUUUUCUUGAUCGCAUGAUCGGGAAAGGAAAGACGGCCUUUGUGCUGUCGCUUAUGGAUGGACCCGCGGCGUAUUAGUUAGUUGGUGAGGUAACGGCUCACCAAGACGAUGAUACGUAGCCGACCUGAGAGGGUGAUCGGCCACAUUGGGACUGAGACACGGCCCAAACUCCUACGGGAGGCAGCAGUAGGGAAUCUUCCGCAAUGGACGAAAGUCUGACGGAGCAACGCCGCGUGAGUGAAGAAAGGUUUUCGGAUCGUAAAACUCUGUUGUCAGAGAAGAACAAGUUGGAGAGUAACUGCUCCAGCCUUGACGGUAUCUGACCAGAAAGCCACGGCUAACUACGUGCCAGCCGCCGC